This 78-nucleotide microRNA precursor is filed under the name Schistosoma margrebowiei. Its description in RNAcentral is "mir-3492 microRNA precursor family". It matches the Rfam family "mir-3492 microRNA precursor family". The record is from Rfam by way of RNAcentral. Lineage: Eukaryota; Metazoa; Platyhelminthes; Trematoda; Strigeidida; Schistosomatidae.
ACUUUUUCGAAUCCGUGCUGAGGUUUCGUCAGACACCAACCCAUUAGUGCUGAUUAGACUUCCGAGAUAAGUGAAGUU